UGAUAAUCAAAUGAUAGUUAUCAUCAUUGUCUUCAUCCUCAUUUUCAUUAUCAUUAUCAUCAUCAUCAUUAGAGUUAUUGAUAUCUCUUUAUUGCCACUAGAUUUGGAGACUUAUAAUUUAGGGCCUAGCAGAAUACCAGGCAGAGUGAGUGCUCAAAAAAUUACAUAUUGAAAGAAUUCAUAGAUAAAACUGAGCAUGUGAAUUAUAUAGGUGUGGACUUCAGACUCCAUAACUCCCACCAACCUAGGAAUACAAAAUAAUUCAGGAUUACUGACUUCUAAAACACCUGUUCAUACUAUUUUUUAGUCUCCUAAAACAUGCUUCCUAAACAUUUCUGUGAGUCUCCGAGGUUAAUUCAUAUGUGCAUAGAAGGACUUGAGCCCAGAGAGUUCCUGGUCCAUGGUAAUUUGGUAAUGCACCAAAGCCUUGAUGGCACUGAGGUGCAUGGCAGUUAAUGACCAAGGGCCAUGUGUUGAGGGAGGGGUCUCACUUAAUUUGUGGUCACAUCCAAUAGAGGAGCUCCAAAUGCUUGGAACCAAUUUAUACAGACUGGCAUGAGGCUGUGGAUGUGCACUCAGGAAGUUGUAGACAGCCCUGUGCCACCUUCACAAUCAUCCUCCCUCUCUGGUCAUACCUCUGUGCAUCAGGUAUAUAGCCUGGCUCCUUCUUCCUUAGGAUGAAGGCAGCCCAGCCCUUUGUGAAAAUAGGUAUUGCUCAGGUCUGCACCAGUGGUUCACUCGACAUGCUAGGACACAUCUGAACCCCUGCAGAGGACACAACCUUGGUUCAAAUUAUAGCUCCAACAUAGCUAAAGGCCAGUUUGAAAAUCAAUAUAUUACAUUACUCUGAGAGGGUGACAAUUCAUACGUUACUUCCAAAAUGAAUAAGGGUAUCUAAUAGGAAGAAACUUCGGGUUUCUUUUUAGGAGGCCGUAUGAGAGGGCACCUCACAGCACAAGUCCACACACAUCUAUUCACAUUUGUCAUAGGACUCUGGGAACUGUCAGAGUGCCAGGUUUUCAGAGUCCCUUCCAGGAAAGUUUGCACACAAAGCAGAAAUAGCUCCUGUACAAGUUUGACAGUAGGAACCAUAGGGUUAACACUCUGUCACCAUGCACUGGGAGCCAGGUGGCAGGACAGGCACGAUGAGGCCUUACCUCUUUAUCAAUCAAGUAUCAGCUAAUUACAAGAGCUCUGCAGAAUCCGAGAGCACCUCUAAGCUGGGAGAGUAUUUGCAGCUGCUCUAGGGAACAGGAAGACCAUGCCCAGUGGAGGUCUCACAUUAAGAUGGGAACCUGGGUCAAUGGAGAACCUAGGAGAGAAGCAGCUUUGAGGAAGCACAGUCACCCACAAAUGACUGCUAAGCACUUUGUGGUUGUCAAGUUCCUAGGCACUGAAUAAUAAUAAGGAGAGGGGGCUUCCAGAGGGUAAUGACUAAUGGCCCCUCCAUUUCCUGCUGAUGCUGGCAGUUCGGUGUCAUUUUGUGUUUAUGUUAAUUUAUGCACACAGGAUUAGAAUGUAGCAUUAUGUGGUCAUUUAAUUUAAUUGAAGUAUGGAACUUCAUGGGCCCAGUUUUACAUUUCCCUUAUAGAUUUCAGUGAUUUUAUCUUUAGCAUUUAAUGCCCCCCCACCCAUCACCAUUCCUAAUGGCAAUAAUAAUACAUUUACACUUGCUUCACACUUUCCCUGCAAGGAGCCCCAAGCGCGUGCUGCGGCCCAUUACCCCCACAAGAGCUCUGCAAGGCAAAUGCCAGGGAGGAUUUGAAGCACUCUCCUCAGGUUGAACAUACAUAAAAAGGUGCAGUUUUUAUCACAGAGAUAAGUUCCCAGCCAUUUAAAUUACUUUUGAAUGCAAGGAGAAACUUUACUUAUGCAUGAGGCUUCCGCUGUGCUGUUCUUCAUAGCUCAGAAAUACGUGACCUUUAAGGCUGACAGCAGUGUGCAGAGUGCAUGUAACUUAUUAGGGAGCUUUCAUU
Molecule: long non-coding RNA, 1976 nt
Filed under: Marmota monax (woodchuck)
Lineage: Eukaryota; Metazoa; Chordata; Mammalia; Rodentia; Sciuridae
Source: RNAcentral